CUUGUCUGCUGCCAUGUGUCUUGUGUCUUUCACCAUGAUUGUGAGGCCUCCCCUGCCGCGUGGAACUACAGACUCUUGCUCUGUUGCCCAGUCUAGAGUGAGCAAGCAGCCUCUCACUAGAGUUCACUGCAGCCUGGAGUUCCUGGGGUCAAGUAAUCCUCCUGCCUCAGCCCGCCAGAGCGCUGGUAUUACAGAUGUGAACCACUGCAUCUGGCCAACUGUUCUUUUAAAUCAUGUCACUUUACAAAGCAAUUAUAGGAAUCUUAUAACCAUAUAUAAUAAUUUCCAAAUUGUAUGGCUACUAUAAGUUGAUUAAAAGUCUAGAGAACAACAGAUUUGAGGCUUAUAAUUGUACUGUAAUGCAUGCUUUAUUCAUUAGGAUCUCAGCACGUAGGCAGACAUUAAACAAAACUUAUGCUAACAUUUGAGGACUCACUGUAUUCUAGGCACUGGUAAGGGCUUGAUAUAAAUUAUCUUCUAUAAUCCCCAAAACAAUCCUAUUCUUCCCCCUUGGUACGGAUGAAGAAAUUGUGCCUUCACCACAGAAAUAGCAGAGCUGGAAUUUGUUCCAGGAAGUCAGACUCCAGAGGCCACGUUCUUAAGCUCUGAAUGAAAACAGAAAAAAGCACAAUAAAAAGUGAACGCACAUUGAGAAAUGUGCGUUCACUUUAUAUUGUGCUGUUUUUAAGGAGAAAGCGUAUACUGUUCUAAUUUAUAUUACUUAUUUGCUAAUUUUCAAGAAAUUUCAAACUUCCCAUUUCAGUGUUAGAACUGAAGUGAGAAUCAGAAGCCCUGAGCUCUUUUUCCGUCUCUACCGCCCCUUUGACAUCAGACCAGUUUUUGACCUUUCUAAUAAAAUGACCUGUAUCCUUGUGAUAUGGUUUGGCUCUGUAUCCCCACCCAAAUCACAUCUUGUAUCUCCCAAAUUCCCAUGUGUUGUGGGAGGAACCCUGUGGGAGAUAAUGGAAUCAUGGGGGCGGGUCUUUCCCGUGCUGUUCUCCUGAUGGUGAAUAAGUCUCACGAGAUCUGAUGGCUUUAAAAACGGGAAUUUUCCUGUGCAAGCUCUCUUCUCUUGUCUGCCACCACGUGAGACAUGCCUUUCACCUUCCGCCAUGAUUGUGAGGCCUCCCCAGCCACGUGGAACUCUAAGUCCAUUAAACCUCUUUCUUUUUUAAAGUGCCCAGCCCGGGGUAUGUCUUUAUCAGCAGCGUGAAAACAGACCUUGUCUAGUGCUCUUGGUAUUGAAGCCUUGUGGUGCUGUAUUGAAGUCAAUGGGGAUAUAAUAGGUCAUCCCUAAGUGGAUAUGUUCCUCAUGCCCACUGCAAGGCAACCAUAACAGAGUAUAAAACAUGAGCCCAAACUUCCAUGUAUAAAAAAAGUGCACUUGAGAGAGCAUGAAGAUCAUUUGGUUCAACAUCCCUGUCUCUGUAUUUCCUUUGCCUUAUAAUAUCGUUGACUAGGACUCAGUGAUUCCCCACAGCGGUGCUUUUAGCCUUUGACGCAAUUCUUGGUUGUUGAGGAUUAUCCCAUGAUUGGAAGAUAGUUAACAUCUUUGGCCCCACCUUCAAAAUGCUACUAGAGCGCUGCACAUUUUCAAACACAUACCUAGGAAAAAACAGUAAAACCUUUCGUCAAAAACCAUGCGAAAACUCCUAGAAUCUUUAUCUCUCACUCAGCCCAGAGAUUGUCAACAAUAGAGAAACAUCACGGAAGACAAAAAACCCACAGGCACUUUGAGUCCACCAGUCAACAGCCUAUACUGAUUGCUGGUGGGGUUCCCUGUAUCCAGCGAGGAAGACAGAAUGCAAAGCCAAGAAAGGUACAUGAAAUGUGUGGUAGUGGUUCCUCUUGUGAUCAAGCAGCUUUAGAGAUUGGCAUUGAAAAUAUAGAACUAUGAUUUAUGAUCUUCAACAUGAAAAUGAUCAUUGAUGCGACACAGAAAAAUACAAAACAGGAUUGACGGCCACAAUGUGUAUAUGUGUUGUGAGUGUAAAGGGUAGAAUAUUUCAGACUCUCUGUGUUAACCAAAAAUAAAAUUAUUUUCUUGUUUUUCUGUAACUCAACCUCAAUUUGAACACACUAUUUCACAUAAUAACAGAAAUUUGGUCUAAUCAUUCAAAACAAACUCCAAGGUUUUCUCAGUCAUUUCUUACGUAAUCUCAAUAUUCUCUCUCUUUCAUUCCUUUUCCAUUUGUGGAGGUGAGAGGCUAAUAAUAGUAAUAAUUAUAACAAUAGCUAAAAUAUUAAGCUACUAUUAACUUCUUAAGGUGCAAUCCCUCCCUCACACCACUCCCUGCUUUCUCAUCCCCAGACAGCUGAUCUUCUUUCUAUCGUGAUAGAUUAGUCUGCAUUUUUAUAUGUCAUUUUAUAUAAAUUGAAUCAUACCAUAUGUACUCUUUUUGUUUGGCUUCAUUCACUCAACAUAAUUUUUUUGAGAUUCAUUCAUAUUGUUGCUUGUAUUAAUAAUUCAUUCCUUUUUAUUGUGUGAAUAUACCUCAUUCCAUUAAACAGGUAAUGGAAAUUUUGGUUGUUUCCAGUUUGUAACCAUCACAAAUAGAGUCUCUGUGAAUAUUAAGGUACAACCUGUUUGGUGGACAUAUGUUUCCACUUUCCUUCUACUCUUCCUAGAAGUGGAAUGCAGGGGUCAUACGGUAGGUGUUCAUACAUCUUUCUAAGAAAAUGCCAAACUGUUUUCCAAAGUGAUUUUAUUAUUUUACAUUCACACCAGUAAUGUAUAAGAGUUUAUAGUCCCUCCAGCAAACUAACAAGGAACAGAAAACCAAACACCACAUGUUUUCACUCAUAAGCGGGAGUUGAACGAUGAGAACAUAUGGACACACGGAGGGGUACAUCACACAUCGGGGCCUAUCAGGUGGUUGGGGGCAAGGGUAGGGAAAACAUUAGGACAAAUAUCUAAUGCAUGUGGGGCUUAAAACCUAGAUCAUGGGUUGACAGGUGCAGCAAACCACCAUGGCACAUGUAUACCUAUGUAACAAACCUGCACGUUCUGCAUAUGUAUCCCAGAACUUAAAGUAAAAUUAAAAAUAAAAAAGUUUACAGCCCCCCAAUAUGUAAUAUGCUCAGACUUUUAAAAUUUCUGUCAUUUCAGUGGGUGAGUAGUGAUAACUCAUUGUGGUGGAAUUUUCAUUUCCCUAGUGACUAAUGAUCUUAAGCCUCUUUUGAUGUGUUUAUCAUCUGUAUAACUCCUUUGAUAAAACAUCUGUUUGUAUAUCUUGCCCAUUUUCUACUAUGCUAUUUCUUUUUAUUAGACAUUUUUAUGUUCUAAUUACAAGUUAUUUAUCAGAUUCAUGUUUGCAAUAUUUUUCCUGGUUUAUUUGCUUAACAGAAUAAACUGUUUUAGAUGGUAAUGCACAAUAUUAAUUUUUUUCUCUUAUGAAUUGUGUUUCUGGUGUUGUAUUUAAGAAAUAUUUUCCAAGGCCAAGACCACUAAAGUUUUCUCCUAUGUUAUCGUCUAGAAGUCCUAUACUUUUGACAUGUUUUUUUCUUUUUUUUGAGACAGAGUCUCACUCUGUCACCCAGGCUGGAGUUCAAUGGUGAGAUCUCGGCUCACUGCAACCUCCGCCUCCCGGAUUCAAGCAAUUCUCCUGCCUCAGCCUCCUUAGUAGCUGGGAUUACAGGCAUGCGCCACCAUGCUCGGCUAAUUUUUGUAUUUUUAGUAGAGACAGGGUUUCACCAUGUUGGCCAGGCUGGUCUCAGACUCCUGACCUCAGGUGAUCUGCCCACCUCAGCCUCCCAAAGUGCUGGGAUUACAGGCAUGAGCCACCACACCCAGCAAUUUUAGGGUUUAUAUUUAAGUCUAUGAACCAUUUCAAUAUAAUUUUUGUUGAUAUUGGGAGGUAAGAGUUGAGUAUUGGGUUUCUGCAUGUGGCUACGUGAUUGUUCCCAAACCAUUUGUUGAAAAGAUUAUACUUUUCCCAUUAAACGCAUUCCACUUACCUAUUUUUCUAUCCUUACACCAAAAUCACACUCUCUUGCUCACUGCAGAUUUAUAUGCUAAGUUUUAAAAUCAGUUAAUGAAGACCUCCAACUUUCUUCUUUUUCAAAGUUGUUUUGGAAUUUCUACGUCCUUUGCAUUUCUAUAUAAAUGUUAGAAUAAUGUUGUUAAUUGCCUGAAAAAAAAGGCUUUCUAAGGAUUUGGUUAUCAUUGUGUUACACAUGUAGAUCAUUUGGGGGAUAAUUAAUAAUAACAUUGAAACUUAUGAUCCAAACACUGUAUAUUCUCCAAUUAUUUAGGCCUUCUUUAAGUUAUCUUAGCAAUGAUCGGUAGUUUUCCAAGUACGGGUCUUGAGAAUCUUUCGUUAAGGGUAUACGUCGUUAUGCUAUUUUUUUUUUUUUUUUUUUUUUUUUUUUGAGACUGAGUCUCGCUCUUUCGCCCAGGCCGGACUGCAGCGGCACUGUCUCGACUUACUGCAAGCUCUGCCUCCCGGGUUCACGCCAUUCUCCUGCCUCAGCCUCCCCAGUAGCUGGGACUACAGGCGCCCGCCACCACACC
Molecule: long non-coding RNA, 4513 nt
Filed under: Homo sapiens (human)
Lineage: Eukaryota; Metazoa; Chordata; Mammalia; Primates; Hominidae
Description: HSALNT0345396
Source: RNAcentral